This 74-nucleotide transfer RNA is filed under the name Candidatus Omnitrophota bacterium. RNAcentral describes it as "Candidatus Omnitrophica bacterium (groundwater metagenome) tRNA-Pro". It matches the Rfam family "tRNA". Rfam says of the family: Transfer RNA (tRNA) molecules are approximately 80 nucleotides in length. Lineage: Bacteria; Pseudomonadati; Candidatus Omnitrophota. The record is from RNAcentral.
CGGGGAGUGGCUCAGUUUGGUAGAGCGUCUUGUUUGGGACCAGAAGGUCGUGGGUUCGAAUCCCACCUCCCCGA